CAAGGCCGAAACUNAGAAAGAUUGANNUCGNAUCGUAAAACUCUGUUGUUAGAGAAGAACAAGGACGUUAGUAACUGAACGUCCCCUGACGGUAUCUAACCAGAAAGCCACGGCUAACUACGUGCCAGCAGCCGCGGUAAUACNUAGGUGGCAAGCGUUGUCCGGAUUUAUUGGGCGUAAAGCGAGCGCAGGCGGUUUCUUAAGUCUGAUGUGAAAGCCCCCGGCUCAACCGGGGAGGGUCAUUGGAAACUGGGAGACUUGAGUGCNGAAGAGGAGAGUGGAAUUCCAUGUGUAGCGGUGAAAUGCGUAGAUAUAUGGAGGAACACCAGUGGCGAAGGCGGCUCUCUGGUCUGUAACUGACGCUGAGGCUCGAAAGCGUGGGGAGCAAACAGGAUUANAUACCCUGGUAGUCCACGCCGUAAACNAUGAGUGCUAAGUGUUGGAGGGUUUCCGCCCUUCAGUGCUGCAGCAAACGCAUUAAGCACUCCGCCUGGGGAGUACGACCGCAAGGUUGAAACUCAAAGGAAUUGACGGGGA
RNAcentral lists this ribosomal RNA (537 nucleotides) under Enterococcus faecalis. RNAcentral describes it as "bacterial SSU rRNA". It matches the Rfam family "Bacterial small subunit ribosomal RNA", at positions 392 to 919 of the family's 1533-position model. Lineage: Bacteria; Bacillati; Bacillota; Bacilli; Lactobacillales; Enterococcaceae. The record is from RNAcentral.